GCGAGCCCGAAGCUCUCGGAGAUGAGUGCGGCCUGGUUGGCAUCCGGGCAGCACAGGCGGACCAUUUCGAGUGUGGUGCCCUUGCG
RNAcentral lists this transfer RNA (86 nucleotides) under Mesorhizobium tianshanense. Its description in RNAcentral is "tRNA-Ala". The record is from RNAcentral. Lineage: Bacteria; Pseudomonadati; Pseudomonadota; Alphaproteobacteria; Hyphomicrobiales; Phyllobacteriaceae.